GCAGUAGGGAAUCUUCCGCAAUGGACGAAAGUCUGACGGAGCAACGCCGCGUGAGUGAUGAAGGUUUUCGGAUCGUAAAGCUCUGUUGUUAGGGAAGAACAAGUACCGUUCGAAUAGGGCGGUACCUUGACGGUACCUAACCAGAAAGCCACGGCUAACUACGUGCCAGCAGCCGCGGUAAUACGUAGGUGGCAAGCGUUGUCCGGAAUUAUUGGGCGUAAAGGGCUCGCAGGCGGUUUCUUAAGUCUGAUGUGAAAGCCCCCGGCUCAACCGGGGAGGGUCAUUGGAAACUGGGGAACUUGAGUGCAGAAGAGGAGAGUGGAAUUCCACGUGUAGCGGUGAAAUGCGUAGAGAUGUGGAGGAACACCAGUGGCGAAGGCGACUCUCUGGUCUGUAACUGACGCUGAGGAGCGAAAGCGUGGGGAGCGAACAGGAUUAGAUACCCC
Molecule: ribosomal RNA, 446 nt
Filed under: Bacillus subtilis
Lineage: Bacteria; Bacillati; Bacillota; Bacilli; Caryophanales; Bacillaceae
Description: bacterial SSU rRNA
Rfam family: Bacterial small subunit ribosomal RNA
Source: RNAcentral